CCAAUAGCGUAUAUUAAAGUUGUUGCAGUUAAAAAGCUCGUAGUUGAAUUUCGGGGUCAGCAGGUUGGUCGUGCCAAUGGUAUGCACUGGCCUUGCUGAUUCCUCCCUCUUGAUGAGCCGUAAUGUCAUUAAUUUGGUGUUGCGGGGAAUCAGGACUGUUACCUUGAAAAAAUUAGAGUGUUUAAAGCAGGCAAGCGCUUGAAUACAUUAGCAUGGAAUAAUGAAAUAGGACGUUUGAUCCUAUUUUGUUGGUUUCUAGGAUUGACGUAAUGAUUAAUAGGGAUAGUUGGGGGCAUUAGUAUUCAAUUGUCAGAGGUGAAAUUCUUGAAUUUAUUGAAGACUAACUACUGCGAAAGCAUUUGCCAAGGAUGUUUUCAUUAAUCAAGAACGAAAGUUAGGGGAUCGAAGACGAUCAGAUACCGUCGUAGUCUUAACCAUAAACUAUGCCGACUAGGGAUCGGAUGAUGUUAAUUUUUUAAUGACUCAUUCGGCGCCUUACG
Molecule: ribosomal RNA, 500 nt
Filed under: uncultured Glomeromycotina
Lineage: Eukaryota; Fungi; Glomeromycota
Description: partial small subunit ribosomal RNA
Rfam family: Eukaryotic small subunit ribosomal RNA
Source: RNAcentral